This 235-nucleotide long non-coding RNA is filed under the name Phoenix dactylifera (date palm). RNAcentral's name for it is "long non-coding RNA (PDAC_LNC014989)". Lineage: Eukaryota; Viridiplantae; Streptophyta; Magnoliopsida; Arecales; Arecaceae. The record is from RNAcentral.
UCAUGGACCCCGCCGCCCCUGCCACAAAUUUCUUCACUGCACUCUUCCCUACCACAACAAUAUUCCUGUUUAGUUCUUCAUAGCAAAUUCCCCUGGAAACCCACUCAUUGCUCAACACGUCAUCACAUAGGAACUUGAAUACAAAAUGAUUUGUGAGCAGGAGAAAGAGAGAUUUCUGAAGAACCUAGCAGCAGAUCAUCCUUUUAGUAGUCUGUCUGACCUGGCAGCAUGCCAU